UACAGAGGUCUCAACCGUUGUUCGGAUUCAUUGGGCGUAAAGGGUGCGUAGGCGGUCGUGCAAGUCGGAUGUGAAAUCUCAGGGCUCAACCCUGAAACUGCAUUCGAUACUGCGCGGCUAGAGUGCUGGAGGGGAGACUGGAAUUUACGGUGUAGCAGUGAAAUGCGUAGAUAUCGUAAGGAAGACCAGUGGCGAAGGCGAGUCUCUGGACAGCAACUGACGCUGAGGCGCGAAGGCCAGGGGAGCAAACGGG
Molecule: ribosomal RNA, 253 nt
Filed under: uncultured bacterium
Lineage: Bacteria
Description: partial 16S ribosomal RNA
Rfam family: Bacterial small subunit ribosomal RNA
Source: RNAcentral